CGGGACGGGUGAGUAACGCGUGGGUAACCUGCCUUAUACAGGGGGAUAACGGUCAGAAAUGGCUGCUAAUACCGCAUAAGCGCACAGAGCUGCAUGGCUCAGUGUGAAAAACUCCGGUGGUAUAAGAUGGACCCGCGUUGGAUUAGCUAGUUGGUGGGGUAACGGCCCACCAAGGCGACGAUCCAUAGCCGGCCUGAGAGGGUGAACGGCCACAUUGGGACUGAGACACGGCCCAG
RNAcentral lists this ribosomal RNA (236 nucleotides) under uncultured bacterium. RNAcentral's name for it is "partial 16S ribosomal RNA". It matches the Rfam family "Bacterial small subunit ribosomal RNA", at positions 100 to 334 of the family's 1533-position model. The record is from RNAcentral.